Oreochromis aureus is the source of this 3664-nucleotide long non-coding RNA. Lineage: Eukaryota; Metazoa; Chordata; Actinopteri; Cichliformes; Cichlidae. The record is from Ensembl.
UGGAGCGUGAUGUCACGGGGGUGGGGAUGGAAAGGAUUUUGGCCUGAUGCACCAUUUUCGUGGUCAAAAUAAAGCGCAAGCGAAAAAGGAGCGAAGAUGUCGUGAGGUGCCAUGACAAGAAGGAGUGACUGAGAGGAUCAUCCACAAGAUGGGAGCUGAGGCCUAGAGAAAGUCUUCAGGAGGAUCAGAGAUCACCUUCAGCACAGAGAGCUGUGCUACUGGGCUUCCAGGAGAUUGUCAUGUGGAGACUCUGCACAGCAAAAUCUUAAAUAAGAUAAGAGUUUCGACGUUGACGUUGAGGAAGACAACUAAGCUGUACGACGUGCUCUGUCUUAAAAAUCUUCAGCACCGUUGGAACGUGAGAACCUGAGGGAGCGUGCCAAGCUCCAAAAAGUGACAGCGCAGAGGAGGUCCAGCGAUGGACUUGUGGUUCUGUAAACAGCACAAAUACCAGGUGACUGUGAAAAACCUAACAGCACUUUUUCCACAGGUGAAGCCAGUAACUUACUAUCCUAACAGAUUAGCUCUAGUUGCUUGUGCUUUACCUCCAUGCGUGAGAUCAGUAUGUGCUUCUUUCGUUUUGCCAAUGAAAGAAGAGGGCACUUCUCACGAGUGUAGAGAGCACGUGGAGAAGCAGUGUGAGCCAGGGAUGACUUAACAGAUGUGCCACUUGUUGAGGGAAAGGUUUGGUUUGUUGAUGGGUUGAGUUUUACAACAGCAGAGGGACAGACUAAAACAGGUUUUACUGUAGUAGAUGGUGAGAAAGUUAUCUGUGCAGGACAACUAGCAUGUUUCAUAUUUGCUUGGGCAGCAGAGAUAGUAGCUUUAACGGAAGCGUGUAAUGCUGAAGAGAGACAAAAUACACUGAUAGCCAAUAUGCAUUUGCUACAUUACACUUCUUUAUAGUGCAGUGGGUGAGACGAGGUGUGACAACCUCUAUAGGGAAGCCUGUAGAACACGCCAAACUCUUGCAAAAUCUGCUGGAGGCAGUGUUAUUGCCCUGUAGAAUUGCCAUUUGUAAAUGUGUAGCACACAUGUGAGGGAAAGAUCCAGUUGCAUUAAGGAAUGCUUUUGCACAUAGGAUCGCAAGAGAGGCAACUUUAGGAAAACAUGGUGUUAACAUUUUAGCACUGCAACACCAGUAGACGUUGCCUGUUAUGCGAGAUGCACUGGCAGACAUGCAGGCCCACUCACCUACCUACUGCAGGAAAACAGUUGUAACUUACAGAAGGAGCGAGCUUGCAGGAUGGUGUUUAUUAUCUGUGUGAUAAACCAAUACUGUCUUAGAAUUUGUAUAAGACUGCUGCUAUUUUGAGCCAUGGGCUAUGCCAUGUCUCCACAGGGGGGAGAAGAUGAUGGCAGCAGUAGUUUAUACUCUAGGAUUAAAUACCUUUUAAAAAAAAAAUUUUGCAGGGAGAGAGAACUAAUGGAACAGUAAUGCUAAGACUCAGGAAGUCAAUGGAAGAGACAGGCAGGACAUGGUUAGACUGUGUAGAAUUAGUUAAGAUGUACAUGAGGAUUACUCUAACAGAGAACGGUCUGACUCUUUGAGAUUAUAUAUGUUAGAGCAUUUAGAGUUCUAGUCUUCUGUAGUGAUGAUAGAAGAGCAGAAGAGAGAGCAUAUUAGCAGAUUAGAUGCUUAAAAUGUUUAAAAAUAAAGAAGUCUUGAGAACAAAUGAUCUGCCAGAUGAUUCUGUUUCUCCGCAGGAGCAGAGUCUGGAGAUUGGAUGUUGAUAAGGCCAUGGAGAGGAAGUGCUGGUCCAGUCCACGGUGGGAAGGUCCCUAUCAGGUGCUGCUGACGACGCUCACAGCAGUGAAGAUUGCUGGAAGAAACACUUGGAUACAUCAAGCGCACUGCAAGAAGGUAACACACUUCCUGGCCGACUCUGGGUGAUGGUGAAAAGGCCAGCGGUACAAAAGGGGGGAGUAUAUCUCUAGGACCUCUCGUCUCAAUCCUGGUGAAGAAACCAGCGGAUCCAGAACCCAACUUAGAAUGGCUGGGAAUGUGCUGUUCGCCUUCUUGACCCUGUGGACCCCGAGUGGGAUGACAGGGAGCGCACUGGGACGGAGCAAACCACACCCAGUACCCGCAUGGGUUUUCAACUAACUACUGGUGGCAGUUUAAGAACAAAACCGCUCACAUAAAGAACGAGACCAAUUGUUAUGCUAGUGAUGCCACUGGCUACACAUUCUUCUGGACUGUGGCCAUAUAGCAUCACUGAGAGCGAGUUGUUUGGUUGCCUUAGCAACACAUCCAGGAGUUAAAGUACUUGGAACACUGCCAACUUUUCAACUCCUCUGAACCUGAAUGGAAGGUUGAUUCACCAGUAGCUGGGAAGGUGAACUGCUCUGGUAAGACAGACCUGCUAGUCUGACUCCAAGAAUCUGACUUGCUGCAGGACAUUGAACAGCUAAACAAACUGGAAACAGGCCAGUUGCCUAUGUGUAUGAAGGGCAAUGGAUUAGUCCAAGUUGGAGAUUUACCAUGGAAUUUGUGCAAGAUCACCUAUUCUUUGUGUCCUCUGCAAGAAGGAUGUAAACAGAGAAGCUUUUGUCUACAUUUACAUCACGAACACUUCUCUAAGCUGGUUGAGGUUUUGAACCAAGAAGAUCAAAACACCUUGAUCCAAUUUCCUUUACAAAGCUUUUCCUGCGGCCACAACAGUUUCCCUUUGUAAUUUCAGAGCUGCACAUUUGCAAAUUGCUAAAUGUCGUAUCACAUGAGGAGUUUCCUCCCAUGUAAACAUAUGUGUGCCAUGAUAGAACCUUCCUCCACACACUAGAAAUAAGAAACUAAUUUCAACCCUCUGUUACAUCUUAUUCACUUAUUUUAUAAUCAAGUCAUUUUUUCUAAUCUAGUAUCAGUCAACUAAUUUGCAUAUCAGCUCAUAAUGCGUUAAGUUGAUAGGUCAACAGAAAUGUACGUUCAAAAUAUUAUCACAAAAGAGAAUUUCCUUCAUACAGUAAAUUACUUGUGUUGCAUCAAUCAAACAGAAAGCAUCUCACAAUUUAUUGUAUUACCAACUAAAUUUAUUGUCUGAUUACUGCUUGGUCAUACCAGACUCUCUCUGUCUUUAUUUUUUUCUUUUCUUCUCUAUUUUCACAAAUGUUUCACCUAUCGUUCUGCAAGCUGGAGAGUUAAAUGUCAGCAGUGGAUAAAUUCAGUAUUUGAUAACAAAACUCUGUUAAGUUUUCCCUGCUUUAACACCAAUGAGAGAUAUAGGCACAUGUAUAGUGUGUGUUAUAGUGUAAGCUGUUCUUCAUUGCAUGUAUGUGUGUUAGUACGCUUGCAUGCAGGGCCUCUGGGCCUGUCUCACCAGAUCAAUCAGUAUGUAGUUUUAUUUUGCAUCAUACUUCUGAGUUAAAAGAAUGUGAAAAUCAUUAGAUUUAUUAGAUAGGUUUGUUUUAUCCUAUACUGCUGAUUUACUGUGAGUGAGUUACACUGUUUCAUGACAUUUCAUACUGCUGAGUUAUGAAGAGAAUAUUGUGUUCAGAGAGUCAGGGCCUUUUUUAAAAAAAAAAAUUUUUGUAGGACGUGCGGCAGCCCCGCAGCACACUUUCAAAGUAGAGCUGAAGGCUGAAGGCUACUAAUAAACGAGGUAUGUUCAACAUAAAACCUGAGUUCUCUGUGUCACGAAGGUGUCUCUCUUUUACCCUGGCCACA